This 72-nucleotide transfer RNA is filed under the name Cordylochernes scorpioides. RNAcentral's name for it is "tRNA-OTHER". It matches the Rfam family "tRNA". Rfam says of the family: Transfer RNA (tRNA) molecules are approximately 80 nucleotides in length. The record is from RNAcentral. Lineage: Eukaryota; Metazoa; Arthropoda; Arachnida; Pseudoscorpiones; Chernetidae.
UCCAGGGUAGCCUAGUGGACAUGGCAUCUGCCCGUAAGCGGAACGUUGUGGGUUCGAAUCCCUCCCCUGGAC